CCUACGGGAGGCAGCAGUAGGGAAUUUUGCGCAAUGGGCGAAAGCCUGACGCAGCAACGCCGCGUGAUUGAUUAAGCCCUUCGGGGUGUAAAGAUCUGUCAGUGGGGACGAAGCUUUACGGUACCCACAAAGGAAGCACCGGCUAACUCCGCGCCAGCAGCCGCGGGAAUACGGAGGGUGCAAGCGUUGUCCGGAAUCAUUGGGCGUAAAGAGUUCGUAGGUGGUAUAUUAAGUCUGGUGUGAAAUGCAGAGGCUCAACUUCUGUUCGGCACUGGAUACUGGUAGGCUUGAAUGCUGUAGAGGUAAAGAGAAUUCCUGGUGUAGCGGUGAAAUGCGUAGAGAUCAGGAGGAACAUCGGUGGCGUAAGCGCUUUCCUGGGCCGUGAUUGACACUGAGGAACGAAAGCCGGGGUAGCAAAUGGGAUUAGAUACCCGGGUAGUC
This 441-nucleotide ribosomal RNA is filed under the name uncultured bacterium. RNAcentral's name for it is "partial 16S ribosomal RNA". It matches the Rfam family "Bacterial small subunit ribosomal RNA", at positions 338 to 795 of the family's 1533-position model. The record is from RNAcentral.